AUGCAAGAUGUGCAGGUUUGGUAUACGCAAGAGGGCAAAACACAGGACAAAUGCCUACAUUGUCUGCUCAAGAGAAGGGUCCACAAGCAGGCUGUGUCAGAUUAUCACCGUGUACGUCAAAAGACAUCAAAAAGGAUUGGCUGCAAUGCAAAGAUUAGAGUCAAAAAAAGGAAGGAUGGCAAAUUUGUGAUAGUAAUGGUUCAACUCAACCACAAUCACAAGAUGCUGGAAAGCCCCGGGAUGCUUUUGCACAUGCGACUGCACAAAAAAGACGAUCCUUUGAUAAACCAGUUAGUGAAAGACAUGCAACUGGACAACCACACACAUGCUCAGAUGAUGUCGACGCUGUCGCGUAUGUCCGGUGGUCUGCAGUACAUGGGACAUACUAGCCGCGACUGGGUAAACAGGAAACAGAAGUUUGUCAGAGAAGAGUCUGAAGAUGAUGUCAAGAAACUUCUGAAUUUCUUCGAGAAAAUGCAAAAGAUAAACCCAGAGUUCUUUUAUGAUUAUGACGCGAACGCAAGUUGCAGAGGAUCGUAUGAAGAUUUUGGAGACUGCGUUACAUUUGACACGACUUAUAAAACUAACAAAUUCCACAUGCCCCUGGGAGUGUUUGUGGGGGUGAACCAUCAUCUACAAAGCACCGUAUUUGCUGUUGCACUCGUGCGAGAUGAAACAAUACCAUCAUUUGAGUGGGUUUUCAAAACCUUUCUGAGGUAUAUGAACAACAAGCCGCCAAUCUGCAUGCUCACAGACCAGUGUUCUUCGAUGAAGGCAGCAUUAAAAACUAUCCGCCCACAAAUUCUGCAUAAGUUGUGUCGGUGGCAUAUCAUGAAGAAGUACAAGGACCACCUCGCCUUGCUGUAUAAGGCGCACGAGAAGCUCAAGGACGAACUCAAUGCAGUGUUGAACCACCCACUAAUGCCGUCAGAAUUUGAACGAGCAUGGAAGAACCUCAUUCAGAGGUACAACUUGCAAGACGACGAAGUGAUGAAUUCACUGUGGGAUGACAGGCACGAGUGGAUCUCAGCUUACUACAAGGAAAUUUUCUGUGCUCGGAUGACUUCCACACAGAGAAGCGAGAGCAUGAACCGCAUACUGAAGAAAUUUUUUGUCAGGGAGAAGCAUGAUCUCCAUCUGUUUGCUCAGCAGGUGGACAAGUGCAUUCAGACCAGGAAGGCCGUCGAGCACGCAGAGACAGUAGCAAAUGAGGAAAACAAAAUGUCAAUCAAAAACUGCUUAAAAAAUAUGAAUAAAAAAAACAAUUUUUUCAUUUCUCUUGGUCGUAACAGUGCAUUUGUGAUCAUGCGGUCAGAGGUAAAAAACAACAACAAAGUUUGGCUUCGAAGUUCAGCUAUCAAAAGUGUAUACAAGAGCAGUGUUUGCAGAUUUCAAAGAAACACUCUACAGUAG
RNAcentral lists this ribosomal RNA (1413 nucleotides) under Triticum aestivum (bread wheat). RNAcentral describes it as "partial small subunit ribosomal RNA". Lineage: Eukaryota; Viridiplantae; Streptophyta; Magnoliopsida; Poales; Poaceae. The record is from RNAcentral.